UUAGCUAGUUGGUGAGGUAACUGCUCACCAAGGCUACGAUGUUUAGGGGGUCUGAGAGGAUGGUCCCCCACACUGGUACUGAGACACGGACCAGACUCCUGCGGGAGGCAGCAGUGAGGAAUAUUGGUCAAUGGGCGAAAGCCUGAACCAGCCAUGCCGCGUGAAGGAUGACGGCCCUAUGGGUUGUAAACUUCUUUUAUACGGGAAGAAACCUCUCUACGUGUAGAGGGUUGACGGUACCGUACGAAUAAGCAUCGGCUAACUCCGUGCCAGCAGCCGCGGUAAUACGGAGGAUGCAAGCGUUAUCCGGAUUCAUUGGGUCUAAAGGGUGCGCAGGCGGAGAAUUAAGUCAGUGGUGAAAUCCUGCAGCUUAACUGUAGAAUUGUCAUUGAUACUGGUUUUCUUGAAUGCAGUUGAGGUAGGCGGAAUGUGUAAUGUAGCGGUGAAAUGCUUAGAUAUUACCCAGAACACCGAUUGCGAAGGCAGCUUACUAAACUGUGAUUGACGCUGAGGCACGAAAGCGUGGGGAGCGAACAGGAUUAGAUACCCUGGUAGUCCACGCUGUAAACUAUGAUCACUCGUUGUUGGCAAUACAUCGUCAGCGACUGAGCGAAAGCAUUAAGUGAUCCACCUGGGGAGUACGAUCGCAAGAUUGAAACUCAAAGGAAUUGACGGGGGCCCGCACAAGCGGAGGAACAUGUGGUUUAAUUCGAUGAUACGCGAGGAACCUUACCUGGGCUUAAAUGCAUAACGACGGACCGGGAAACUGGUCUUUCUUCGGACGGCAUGCAAGGUGCUGCAUGGCUGUCGUCAGCUCGUGCCGUGAGGUGUCGGGUUAAGUCCCAUAACGAGCGCAACCCUUAUCAUUAGUUGCCAGCGGGUAAUGCCGGGGACUCUAAUGAAACUGCCGGUGUAAACCGAGAGGAAGGUGGGGAUGACGUCAAGUCAGCACGGCCCUUAUGUCCAGGGCUACACACGUGUUACAAUGGUCAGUACAGAGGGAAGCUACCAGGCGACUGGAUGCUAAUCUCAAAAACUGGUCUCAGUUCGGAUCGGAGUCUGCAACUCGACUUCGUGAAGUUGGAUUCGCUAGUAAUCGCGCAUCAGCCAUGGCGCGGUGAAUACGUUCCC
Molecule: ribosomal RNA, 1131 nt
Filed under: uncultured organism
Description: bacterial SSU rRNA
Rfam family: Bacterial small subunit ribosomal RNA
Source: RNAcentral